GGAACCACCCCUUCCCAUCCCGAACAGGACCGUGAAACGCUGCCGCGCCUAUGAUAGUGGGGGGCCUCCCCCCGCGAAAGUCGGUCACCGCCAGAC
Molecule: ribosomal RNA, 96 nt
Filed under: Acidithiobacillus sp. BN09-2
Lineage: Bacteria; Pseudomonadati; Pseudomonadota; Acidithiobacillia; Acidithiobacillales; Acidithiobacillaceae
Source: RNAcentral